Molecule: long non-coding RNA, 1446 nt
Organism: Aedes albopictus (Asian tiger mosquito)
Lineage: Eukaryota; Metazoa; Arthropoda; Insecta; Diptera; Culicidae
Exons: 3
Source: RefSeq, a predicted model, not a curated record
GGAUGACACUCUCAUCUUUUGAGUUUAAUCUCUUUUUGAAUCUUUUUGAAUCAUUCGGAAUCUUUUCGAAUCCCGCCAAAUCAAGCAUAGUGAAAAGUGAGGAAACUUUUGCUUCAGUGUGCUAAGAGCACCUGUCAAAUCAGACCAGCUUCGCGCGCGGAUAAUGUUUACGAGAAGUAAAAAAAAUAAAUAAAAAAAAAAUACCAACGGCAUUUUUGGGGGAAUUUCAAUAAAAUAUGGCCGGAGCGCUCCAAAUGGAAAUACGCCAUGUAGGCGGGCUACCAUCUACGCCAGGGGCCAGGAUGAUUGAAACCUCAAGAUUUGAACCGGAAUAAGUGGUGUGAACAAGUUUUUGGAGUCGUGGACCUCCACCUGCAGGUAUGCAUUACAUUAUUGUUAUAUCAAAGAUGGAUCAACAUCUUUGCCAUAACACUCGGUUAGUGGCUGCUGUCUUUUAUCCUCGGUUUUGACCCACAUUUGCCAGACCAUUCUGCACCUGGACGCUGCCUUUCAGGUCUUUUUGUAUUAUACGGAUCUCCUGCGAACACCAGCUUUGAACGGCUGUUACCCAGCAUUCUCACAAUAUUCCCUGCCCAUCGUAUUUUUCCAGCUCUUGACACCUUCUGGAUGCUGGGUUCGCCGUAGAGUUCAGCGAGGCCGUGGACGUGGGCCGUGGAUCAUCCUUUACCGCCACACACCGUCCUGCACAUCGCCGAAUAUUUAUCGUCCUUAGCAGGCGUCGCUCGAAAACUUAGCAGGCGUCGUUCGGUCCACCUCGUGUGUGAAGGUGUCUCGAAUCGGUAUAGGGCCAUCCUAGGGGCCACCGGUUCAUAAGUAUUUUGAGCACGGUAUAUUUGGUGCGAGGAUGAAUCUAUAGGUAAGCAAGCGAUUCCAUGAACCAUUGCAAGCCAGCUCUAAUUUGAUUACCAAACAAUGGUAAACAUUAAUUUUUGAAGAAGCUACUUCGUCACCCAUCACAUCUCGUCGAAUAGAAUGGAAUCUCUUGAUUGUUAUUUGUUAUGUGUGUGUACCUAUGUGUGAAUAAAUAGUAUUGCUUGGUGGGGGUAGGGGGGUUGGGUUAGUUCCGAUGGGUAUAUAAAACAUCCGAAAUUCACUACCCGAGGGGGGGUCCCCGAUUUCUCUGGCCAAGACGAUUAAUUAUUGCCCUUUUUAUUUGCGAAGUGACUCGAAAACAGUAAGUAUACUUGUGUAAUUAGUAACUUUCUUUAAAAAUUUUGAAACUGUUUUAAAUGAAAUUUAAAAAAUCAACGGAAAAAGGUUCACCAUGUCCUCUCAAGUUAUUAGGUGAGAAAAUGCGUUUCUUGUAGAAAUAGGCCACUUCUAUACCUUUAAAUAUUUCAAAGUGAUCAAAUAUGACGUCCAUAGUUUAGGGGGAGGGGGAGAAAGUGUAACACUCCUUAUAGGUACAAGAUAUACCUCCAUACA